AGUGAACGCUGGCGGUAGGCCUAACACAUGCAAGUCGAACGGCAGCACAGUAAGAGCUUGCUCUUACUGGUGGCGAGUGGCGGACGGGUGAGGAAUACAUCGGAAUCUACUUUUUCGUGGGGGAUAACGUAGGGAAACUUACGCUAAUACCGCAUACGACCUACGGGUGAAAGCAGGGGAUCUUCGGACCUUGCGCGAUUGAAUGAGCCGAUGUCGGAUUAGCUAGUUGGCGGGGUAAAGGCCCACCAAGGCGACGAUCCGUAGCUGGUCUGAGAGGAUGAUCAGCCACACUGGAACUGAGACACGGUCCAGACUCCUACGGGAGGCAGCAGUGGGGAAUAUUGGACAAUGGGCGAAAGCCUGAUCCAGCCAUACCGCGUGAGUGAAGAAGGCCUUCGGGUUGUAAAGCCCUUUUGUUGGGAAAGAAAAGCAGCAGGUUAAUACCCCGCUGUUCUGACGGUACCCAAAGAAUAAGCACCGGCUAACUUCGUG
This 492-nucleotide ribosomal RNA is filed under the name uncultured bacterium. RNAcentral describes it as "partial 16S ribosomal RNA". It matches the Rfam family "Bacterial small subunit ribosomal RNA", at positions 29 to 507 of the family's 1533-position model. The record is from RNAcentral.